This 256-nucleotide ribosomal RNA is filed under the name uncultured bacterium. RNAcentral describes it as "partial 16S ribosomal RNA". It matches the Rfam family "Bacterial small subunit ribosomal RNA", at positions 524 to 777 of the family's 1533-position model. The record is from RNAcentral.
UACGUAGGGACAACGCGUUGUCCGGAAUCAUUGGGCGUAAAGAGCGUGUAGGCGGCUUGUUAAGUCUUGUGUGAAAUCUCGGGCUCAACCCCGAGCGGUCAUGAGAAACUGGCAGGCUAGAGUGCGGGAGAGGGAGAGUGGAAUUCCUGGUGUAGCGGUGAAAUGACGCAGAUAUCAGGAAGAACACCCGUGGCGAAGGCGGCUCUCUGGAACGCAACUGACGCUGAGACGCGAAAGCGGUGGGGAGCAAACAGGG